Molecule: ribosomal RNA, 450 nt
Filed under: uncultured Glomeromycotina
Lineage: Eukaryota; Fungi; Glomeromycota
Description: SSU rRNA
Rfam family: Eukaryotic small subunit ribosomal RNA
Source: RNAcentral
AGCAGCCGCGGUAAUUCCAGCUCCAAUAGCGUAUAUUAAAGUUGUUGCAGUUAAAAAGCUCGUAGUUGAAUUUCGGGGUUAGUAGAUUGGUCGUGCCAUCGGUAUGCACUGGUCUUACUGAUUCCUCCUUCCCGAUGAACCGUAAUGCCAUUAAUUUGGUGUUGCGGGGAAACUGGACUGUUACUUUGAAAAAAUUAGAGUGUUUAAAGCAAGCUAACGCUUGAAUACAUUAGCAUGGAAUAAUGAAAUAGGACGUUCGAUCCUAUUUUGUUGGUUUCUAGGAUUGACGUAAUGAUUAAUAGGGAUAGUUGGGGGCAUUAGUAUUCAAUUGUCAGAGGUGAAAUUCUUGGAUUUAUUGAAGACUAACUACUGCGAAAGCAUUUGCCAAGGAUGUUUUCAUUAAUCAAGAACGAAAGUUAGGGGAUCGAAGACGAUCAGAUACCGUCGUAG